ACUCAAAUGAAUUGACGGGGGCCCGCACAAGCGGUGGAGCAUGUGGAUUAAUACGUCACUAACCGUAGAACCUUACCCAGGCUUGACAUCCCGGGAAGACCUCUCAAAGGAGGUUGUGCCGCGCAAGCGGAACCCGGAGACAGGUGUUGCAUGGCUGUCGUCAGCUCGUGUCGUGAGAUGUUGGGUUAAGUCCCGCAACGAGCGCAACCCUCACCGCCUGUUGCCAGCACGCAAGGUGGGCACUCUGGCGGAACUGCCCGGGUAACCGGGAGGAAGGUGGGGACGACGUCAAGUCAGCAUGGCCCUUACGCCUGGGGCUUCACACAUGCUACAAUGGCCGGUACAGAGGGUUCCGAGGCCGCGAGGCGGAGGCAAUCCCAAAAAGCCGGUCUCAGUUCGGAUCGCAGGCUGCAACUCGCCUGCGUGAAGUCGGAAUCGCUAGUAACCGCCGGUCAGCUAAACGGCGGUGAAUACGUUCCCGGGCCUUGUACACACCGCCCGU
Molecule: ribosomal RNA, 502 nt
Filed under: uncultured bacterium
Lineage: Bacteria
Description: partial 16S ribosomal RNA
Rfam family: Bacterial small subunit ribosomal RNA
Source: RNAcentral